This 450-nucleotide ribosomal RNA is filed under the name Granulicatella adiacens. Its description in RNAcentral is "bacterial SSU rRNA". It matches the Rfam family "Bacterial small subunit ribosomal RNA", at positions 28 to 464 of the family's 1533-position model. Lineage: Bacteria; Bacillati; Bacillota; Bacilli; Lactobacillales; Carnobacteriaceae. The record is from RNAcentral.
GACGAACGCUGGCGGCGUGCCUAAUACAUGCAAGUCGAACGAGAGCGACCGGUGCUUGUACUGGUCAAUCUAGUGGCGAACGGGUGAGUAACACGUGGGUAACCUGCCCAUCAGAGGGGGAUAACAUCCGGAAACGGAUGCUAAAACCGCAUAGGUCCUUUAACCGCAUGGUUGAAGGAGGAAAAGAGGCGCAAGCUUCUGCUGAUGGAUGGACCCGCGGUGCAUUAGCUAGUUGGUGAGGUAACGGCUCACCAAGGCCGUGAUGCAUAGCCGACCUGAGAGGGUGAUCGGCCACAUUGGGACUGAGACACGGCCCAAACUCCUACGGGAGGCAGCAGUAGGGAAUCUUCCGCAAUGGACGCAAGUCUGACGGAGCAACGCCGCGUGAGUGAAGAAGGUUUUCGGAUCGUAAAACUCUGUUGUUAGAGAAGAAACAAAGUGCUAGAGUAA